Molecule: non-coding RNA, 200 nt
Filed under: Clostridium tepidiprofundi
Lineage: Bacteria; Bacillati; Bacillota; Clostridia; Eubacteriales; Clostridiaceae
Description: T-box sequence
Rfam family: T-box leader
About the family: Uncharged tRNA acts as the effector for transcription antitermination of genes in the T-box leader family. T-boxes are found upstream of many aminoacyl-tRNA synthetase genes and some amino acid biosynthetic genes usually in Gram-positive bacteria.
Source: RNAcentral
UUAAAACCUGUGAAGAGGCUAGUAGUAGUAUAGAAAGUUUAAGAGAGUCAGUGGUUGGUGUGAACUGAUACUUUUGAUAUUAUGAAUCCACCUCUGAGGGACUGUGAUGAGCAGUACGGUUAUAACCGUUACAUUUUUAAAGAGGAUUAAAUUUUAAUUUAAUCAAUUAGGGUGGCAACGCGGAGCUUUUCGUCCCUUUU